UUAAGAUUCAAGAGCAGUUUGCUGCAGGAGGUGCUCCCACACAUUAGUUUCCAAGUGAAACAGCUAUAAAGGAAGUAGGAUGGAUACUGAAGGUAUGGUGACUGAUUUGUGCGACCUAAGAAUGAAGGUUGCCGCUGGUGCCACAUUAAAGAGAACAAUUCCCGAGGAAAAAAAGAAGUUGGGAGAACCUCGUUAACAAGGCAGCACUCCUCUUCUACCAUCCCUCUCCAGGAAUCGCAGGAUUGUUGUUCUGAGAAUGAGCGUGCACAGUAGUGCACUGUUAACAGUGUUUUGCACGUAGCAGGUGCUUAAUAAAUGUUUGACGAAUGAACAGAGGCGCUAAACCAGUCAAUGUACCCAAAAAACCAUCCCAUUGAUUUCUGAGGUCUCUUUAUGUAACUUGAUUCCUGCCUCAGCAGCAGCAUUGUCCUUACUCUUGAGAAAGAGAGGGGCAAUGUUGAUGAUGGUCUGUGCUAGACAUGACCUCUAAACCUGCCUUUUUGAACUUAUUCUUGCCAAGAACUUAUACAUGGGAGUGUUGAUACUGGCCUCUUCCCCUUCCAGGACUACUGUUAACCAGUUAGGCUGCUCAAGUUUCAGUCAAGUACCAUCAGUUAUAAUCUGUGUUCUUAUCCAAGUUACUGAAACUCUGGGCCUGCAUAAAAUGGGGAUAAUAGUACUUAACUU
RNAcentral lists this long non-coding RNA (687 nucleotides) under Homo sapiens (human). RNAcentral describes it as "HSALNT0218689". The record is from RNAcentral. Lineage: Eukaryota; Metazoa; Chordata; Mammalia; Primates; Hominidae.